CCGGUGGGAGGCGGCCCCAUCGGUUGGGCCGCUGCUGUGUGUGCGGGGCUCCUGCCCAGGGCAGGGGGAGGUCCGCAGGCCGGUUCAAAGGCAGAGGAUGCUGUAAUAGCGAGGGUGCUGGCAGAGCAGCCCUCAUUGUUUGUGGAAUGAUGUUUGUUCACAGCAACAUAAUAAGAAUCAUUUGGGAGCUCGGCGUUGGUGCCGCUUCCCUUGCGCGUUGCCUGCAGUGGGAUCUUGUCCCUGCUGUGUACCCGACAAGACAGAGGGGUCGAUGAUGGAAGCCCAGCCUGUCAGAUCUGCCGCACGGCCUCGGCUCCAUUGGCAUGACUGGCCUGAAAUGAAAUCACUUUUGAGUUUUAUGUGGCCUCUUCCUUGUCAAAAUCCCAGUGAAUGUGGUUAUGUGAUGCCAUUGGAAUGACUCAUUGCCAUAAUUACAUAUGUUCUAAGGGGUUAUUCCCAUUGUAUUAUUAAAAACCAGUGAUGUUUGAUUUUUGGCAGGGGCUGUCUUCCUUGUAUGAUCUACAGAUUUUGUCAAUUAAAUGAAGGAAAAGGAGAUCUCCAAGACUUCAGAACAAGACUGGACUUGAAAUCAGAGCACUUUUUCAGCACGGAAUUGAGCUACUUGGUUUUAACAGGGUAAAGGCAACAUCAGCCAUCUUACUCUCCCUGUUGCAGUGAUUCCCUGCAGAACACAAGGACAGAAGUGGGUUUCUUAGCCAGCCUUCAAAAUCAUCCCAACCACAGCCAGAAGAUACAGUAGAUGGUUUAUCACCACAGUAGUUUUCCCAGCUCAGCUCCUCAGGAAUGGGUUUUCAGGGACAAAGCUCACAAGAGCUGAAGCAGGGCUCCUUGGCAACAAGCUCCAGGUUUGAUGGCUCCUUAACAGACCAAAACAAAGUGAUCCCAGAUACUGUUGCCUUGGAUCUGGACUUCCCAAAAUGGUGAUGGAAAGCAACAGGGGGAAGCUGGAGGGAGGAGAAAUCUGAUCUUUCUGACAGGAAUGAAGUGGUUACUAGCAAUAGAAGCUAAAGCAUUUAUGUACAAAUGCUUAGUUUUGUGAUUUGAUUUUAAUAGUCAUGAAAAGUGAUUUCUUUUGUGGAAAGCUGAACAUCGGCUUUGUGUGGCACAGGAUUUGACAUGGCCUUUUGGCCUAAAUGCCAGGUUCUAACCAGGCAUUUGAGCUUGUGUAGUAAAUAACAAUAUAUUAUCUGCCCAAUUGCCUCUGUUUUCCCACUAAGAUCCUGCUGCUCUUCGAAUAUCAUGAAGAUGCUGGCAAGCAGCUCCAUCUAAACGAUGGUUUGGCAUUCAGUUGGGUAUAAUAUAUUAUGUGUAUAAAUGCCAUUGGUGUGAUUUAUUUAUGGUGACUGGUUAAAUACAGCUGGUAUUUCUGUAGUUUUAAUAGAGAUUUUAAACUGA
Molecule: long non-coding RNA, 1416 nt
Organism: Neopsephotus bourkii (Bourke's parrot)
Lineage: Eukaryota; Metazoa; Chordata; Aves; Psittaciformes; Psittacidae
Exons: 2
Source: RefSeq, a predicted model, not a curated record